AUUGAACGCUGGCGGCAGGCCUAACACAUGCAAGUCGUGGGGGUGAAUGUAGCUGGCUCCUGGAUUCAGCGGCGGACGGUUGGUUAAUGGCUAGGAAUCUGCCUGGUAGUGGGGGAUAACGUCCGGAAACGGGCGCUAAUACCGCGUACGGCCAGAGGGAGAAAGUGGGGGACCUUCGGACCUCACGCUAUCAGAUGAGCCUAGGUCGGAUUAGCUAGUUGGGGGGGUAAAGGCCUACCAAGGCGACGGUCCGGAACUGGUCUGAGAGGAGGAGCAGGCACACUGGAACUGAGACACGGUCCAGAAUCCUACGGGAGGACGCAGUGGGGAAUAUUGGACAAUGGGCGAAAGCCUGAUCCAGCCAUGCCGCGUGUGUGAAGCAGGUCUUCGGAUUGUAAAGCACUUUAAGUUGGGAGGAAGGGCAGUAAGUUAAUACCUUGCUGUAUUGACGUUACCAACAGAAUAAGCACCGGCUAACUUCGUG
This 484-nucleotide ribosomal RNA is filed under the name uncultured bacterium. Its description in RNAcentral is "partial 16S ribosomal RNA". It matches the Rfam family "Bacterial small subunit ribosomal RNA", at positions 30 to 507 of the family's 1533-position model. The record is from RNAcentral.